UACGAAGGGGGCUAGCGUUGUUCGGAAUUACUGGGCGUAAAGCGCGCGCAGGCGGCUAUCCAAGUCAGUGGUGAAAGCCCAGAGCUUAACUCCGGAACUGCCAUUGAAACUGUUUAGCUUGAGUAUGAGAGAGGUGAGUGGAAUUCCCAGUGUAGAGGUGAAAUUCGUAGAUAUUGGGAAGAACACCGGUGGCGAAGGCGGCUCACUGGCUCAUUACUGACGCUCAGGCGCGACAGCGUGGGGAUCAAACAGG
RNAcentral lists this ribosomal RNA (253 nucleotides) under uncultured bacterium. RNAcentral's name for it is "partial 16S ribosomal RNA". It matches the Rfam family "Bacterial small subunit ribosomal RNA", at positions 524 to 776 of the family's 1533-position model. The record is from RNAcentral.